RNAcentral lists this long non-coding RNA (12579 nucleotides) under Triticum aestivum (bread wheat). RNAcentral describes it as "long non-coding RNA (TAES_LNC013175)". The stretch from base 1828 to 1957 matches the Rfam family "MIR167 microRNA precursor family". Lineage: Eukaryota; Viridiplantae; Streptophyta; Magnoliopsida; Poales; Poaceae. The record is from RNAcentral.
UAGGUUGAUUCGGUUUCACCUAUCAGCUUGCUGCGUGCCCUUUUGUUUGGGAUCUCAUCUCGGUGUAACGCUGCAACGUUAUAUGUCCCAAGUAAACUUUGAGAUAGGCUUGUCGCCAAUUUUUGCUAUUAGGUGAGUCGUGAAUAAUUAUGAACUUCCUCUGUGCGAGUGAAGUGAGGUGACUGGAAUUUAACGUACCCCUGUGGAUGUGUAUGGUUUUAAGCUCUGCGUCUGUGUCCGGUUUCCUUCUGUGUUGUUUGCUCUGUUUUAGUUUGAAAUGAAACCUUGUCAUGUACGGCCAUGAUUUUUACAAGAAUCAUCAUGAUGAUAAAUUAGCACCAUCUUCCAAAUAGCAUUAGGCGUCGUGGUGAGGUUUGUCCCUUUCUCCUCUCAUGGGUGUCCCCCGUUCUCUCAUUGCUGGAAGAUGUCUUCAGGACAAACCUUGGGCCUUGCUCCGCCAUCCUCUUUGUCUGUUUUGAUGCUUUCAUCCACUUUCUGAAUGCACGCACAGGCACACAAAUACAUGGCUGAAAUAAUACAUGGUAGCUGAAAAGGCGCGAACUACACAAAAAUACAUGGCUGGAAAUAAUCUGGGCGCAAGCUAAUUAAAGGCCUAACAGCUGUGGCCAUUAUUUUUCAGAGACAACUAGACAAAGUAUCGCUGUAGUAUUUGCAGACCACAGUUGCAUAAUUUAGAUGGCAAACAUGCACCACUUACGUAUCAAAAGCUAGGCUUCCAUCGAACGUGCCUGCUAUUGUGGCCCAACAGGAAGCCUAGAGGUCUAGGGGAGUAGCAUGAUGCUAUGUCGCUGUUAAGCACAAGCAUCAGAGCCUUAUAAUAUGCUAUAUUAGUGAACCCAGGGUAUGAGUUGCAUGCCCUUUUGGAGGCAAGGAAUCUGAUUGCACAUGAUCAUAUUUGGUUAAUUUGUACCUUAUUGUGGUUUUCUCCUAUACCAUUUGCCGACAACUCAAUUACCCAAUACUUAGUUUAAAUUUGGUAUAGUUAUUCGUUCAUCUCUUCGUAAUCGUACGUUAACUCCAGCAUUUUUUUUCCUUCUCUUGGAAGGUCUCACAUUGUAAUUUCCAUCAUACAGCAAAAACAGAUGCAUGCCAAAAGAUACAAUUGACUGCCAUUGCCAGGAUUAUUUUUGGAUGAGCUAGCACUUCUGCUCGUCCACCACUGAAAACCCAGUACUGAAUGGCUAAAAAGUUUUCAUGUUAGGAGAAACAACAAUUAAACUUUCCCAUUUGAAUUUCUGUAGAACUAAAGCAAAAGGUAGGUGGAAGCGUCGAGCAAGAUUUUGUAUGCAAAGCAAUCUCAUCAAGAUAUGAACGAAACACAAGUGUUAGCAUGCUUCAAUUUGGAUUGGGCUCCAAAGUCCUCAUGAACUUCAAUGUGGGUUCCUAAUUAUUAUACUGGGAUUCCUACAAUCUUCCUUCGUCAAAAAGGAAAAUAAACAAAUAAACAGAAAGUGAAGUACUUGUGGGGCAUAAAUUUCAUUUUUCCUUGCCUUCCGCUAAGAAAGCCAUAAGCCAUCUUAAUUUGAUGGUAUACGCAAGAGGAGCUCUUAAACAAAUGCAAGUGCAAUAAACUACACACCGUCCUGAUUAGAGAACCUCUUGAGAAGCUGGAAAGAGCUGGGAGAUUUUGUAUGAGAGAACCUCUUGAGGAAAAAUGAAGCAUGAUAAACAAAAAGAAUACACUAAUAAACAGAAACAGAAGGAGAAGGCAGGGCAAACAACACCAAAUUAGCAAGCAUUUACCUUCCAUGCAAGUCCGCCUACUUACGCAAGAGAAACCAGAAAACAAUCUCUAUAUCUGUUGGUGGCCGUGAGAAAAUGAAGCUGCAGCAUGAUCUGAUGGAGCAAAAAUUCCAAGAUAACCCCGCGCAACCGAACGCGGUUUCGGCGCAUGCUGGAUGAGCAGAUCAUGCUGGCAGCUUCAGUCUCUCACACCAGCAAAGGCGUCCGUCCGUCCAUGGUAGCAGAAGGACAUGGAGCUACGCGGAGAUAGGGGUAAGGGAGAGAAGUGGCCGCUGCCAUGCAUAUGUACCUAUCUGGGAUAUCUGUAUGGCGGCCUCAUAUGCGUAGGGUGGGCGAACUUAAAGGAGAGGAGGAGGAGGAGGGGAGGAGCGACAAAACCAUGGCAGGAGGGGUGGGUGUGUGUCCAUGGUGGUUGGUGCAAGCAUGGUCCCUUUCUUGCCGCUCACACCUCGUGACACUGCCGUUUUGCCCUCACCGAAGUCGCCAUCGCCACCACGGCUUGUUUUAUGUGCAGUGUCCUUGCUCCCCCGGCCACACCAGAACGGCACAUGCAUCUCUACGUUUUGCUCUCAAGUCCGGAUUUUUCGUAGGAUAAUGUUUAAGAGUGCAGAUGAUUGGUCGUGUUGCUAUCUAUGUGUUUGUUGUGCGAGUCUGCUGAUCGAUUUAUUUACUCCCUCCCUUUCGCAAUGAAAAGAGAUUUAUUUGCUUCCUCCGAUCCAAAUUAAUUGACGCAACCUCUAUACAAGGUAAGUGGGAGUACUGAUGAUGGAUGGACAGUGGUGUUGAGGGUGCAGGUGAGGCUUUCAAAAAUAUGUCAUAGCAUUCUAAAGUUAUGCUAACGGUGUUUUAAUUCGCAAAAAAAAAAAACGGUGUUUUAAAGCAUUUCACGUUCAUUAAAGAUUAACUUUCAGAUGUGUUGUGUUCUUUCGCAGGGUCUUUCGCAACACUGCCGCUACGACGAUGAUGGUCGUCAUGAAGAUCAAAGAGGAGGCCCAUCUUUGGGCUAUGGCCGAUACACCCACUUGAGUAUUGUAAUGCCACGAGAGUAGUUCUCUGUUUCCUGCUUUGCGGCUAUUUGUCUAAAACCUUCUCCCUUAAUCAACGAAAAUGACAAAUUUUUUGCCUUGUUUUUGUAAAAGAAACUUCUAGAUGUGCUUUGGUGAGAUGCAUACUUCACAAUUUCUGGCUACCAUUACACAUGUAUUUUCUUGACAUGCAUACAAAAAUUCAGUGGGUGUACAAAGUGUUCCAGUACAUAUCAACUUGCCUCUUAGAGUGUCACCGUGUGUGGUUGCGUAUUGAGUCAAUUACACAUGUGGUGCUUGAAUUUGGCGCAAAUGGUUGCUUUACUGCUAGAACUUAUUGUUGGAAAUAUGCCCUAGAGCAAUAAUAAAUUGGUUAUUAUCAUAUUUUCCCUUCAUGAUAAAUGUUUAUUAUUCAUGAUAGAAUUGUGUUGACCGGAAACUUAAAUACACGUGUGAAUACAUAAACUACACUGUGUCCCUAGUAAGCCUCUACUAGACUAGCUCGUUGAUCAAAAAUGGUUAUGGUUUCCUGACCAAAGACAUGAGUUGUCAUUUGAUAAGAGAUCAUAUCAUUAGGAGAAUGAUGUGAUGGACAGACCCAACCGUAAGGUUAGCAUCAGAUCGUUUAGUUAUUUGCUAUAGCUUUCUUCAUGUCAAGUAUUUGUUGCUUCGACCAUGAGAUCAUGCUACUCCCGAAUACCGGAGGAAUGCCUUGUGUGCAUCAAACGUCACUUCGUAACCGGGUGAUCAUAAAGGUGCUCUACAGGUAUCUCCGAAGGUGUCUGUUAGGUUGCAUGGAUCGAGACUGGGAUUUGUCACUCCGUGUGACGGAGAGAUAUCACAUCAUAGGAAGCUUCAUGUGACUAAUGGGUUUAGUCACGUGAUCUUGUAUUACGGAAUGAGUAAAGAGACUUGCCAGUAACGAGAUUGAACUAGGUAUGGAGAUCCUGACGGUCGAAUCUCGGGCAAGUAACAUAUCGCUAGACAAAGGGAAUUGCAUACGGGAUUAACCGAAUCCUUGACAUCGUGGUUCAACCGAUGAAGAUCUUCGUAGGAUAUGUAGGAACCAAUAUGAGCAUCCAGGUUCCGCUAUUGGUUAUUGGCCGGAGAGGAGUCUCGGUCAUGUCUGCAUAGUUCUCGAACCCGCAGGGUCGCACGCUUAACGUUCGAUGACGCUAGGGUAGUAUUGAGAUCAUAAUAGUGGAAAGUCCGAAGGUUGUUCGGAGUCCCGGAUGGGAUCCGGUGUUGGGAAAUGUAUCAUGCAAUUUCAAAUUUCAUACGCUCACGCAAGAUCUAUCUAGGAGAUGCAUAGCAAUGAGAGGGGAAGAGUGUGUCCACGUACCCUCGUAGACCAAAAGCGGAAGCGUUUGACAACGUGGUUGACGUAGUCGAACUUCUUCUCGUUUCGACCGAUCAAGCACCGAACGUACGGCACCUUCGAGUUCUGCACACGUUCAGCUCGAUGACAUCCCUCGGACUCUUGAUCCAGCAGAGUUCGAGGAAGUAGACGAGUUCUGUCAGCACGACGGCAUGGUGACGGUGAUGGUGAAGUGAUCCGCGCAGGGCUUCGCCUAAGCACUACGAAGAUAUGACCGGAGGCGUAAACUGUGAAGGGGGGCGCCGCACACGGCUAACAAUUGUUGGUGUGUGUUCUAGCGGUGCCCCCACAUAUAUAUAGGUUGGAGGGGAGGAGAGGCAGCCAAGGGGGCGCCCCAAGUAGGAGGAAUCCUACUUGGGCGCCUCCCCAAUUCGGCCUCCCCCCUUCCAUAAGUUCCGGAGGGGGAAGGAAGGAGGAGGGAGGGGGGAAGGAAGGGGGAGGUCGAAUCCCUCCCCUUCCUUCUCUCUUCCCCUCUUUCCUUCUCCUCCUAUUUCGGCCUUUAUGGGGGCGCACCAGCCCCUUGUGGGCUGGUCUAUCCCUCUCUUAGCCCAUAAGGCCCAUAUCUUUGCCGGGGGUGCCCGGAACCCCUUUCGGUGACCCGAUAUGUACCCGAUACCCUCCGGAACACUUCCGUGUCCGAAUACUAUCGUCCUAUAUAUCAAUCUUUACCUCUCGACCAUUUUGAGACUCCUUGUCAUGCCCGUGAUCUCAUCCGGGACUCCGAACAACAUUCGGUCACCAAAUCACAUAACUCAUGUAGUAUAAAAUCGUCAUCGAACGUUAAGCGUGCGGACCCUACGUGUUCGAGAACUAUGUAGACAUGUCCGAGACACCUCUCCGGUCAAUAACCAAUAGCGGAACCUGGAUGCUCAUAUUGGCUUCUACAUAUUCUAUGAACAUCUUUAUCGGUCGAACUGUUAUGACAACAUACGUUAUUCCCUUUGUCAUCGGUAUGUUACUUGCCCGAGGUUUGAUCGUCGGUAUCUUCAUACCUAGUUCAAUCUCAUUACCGGCAAGUCUCUUUACUCGUUCCGUAAUACAUCAUCCCGCAACUAACUCAUUAGUCACAUUGUUCGCAAGGCUUCUUAUGAUGUGUAUUACCGAGAGGGCCCAGAGAUACCUCUCCGAUACUAAGAGUGACAAAUCCUAAUCUCGAUCUAUGCCAACCCAACAAACACCUUCGGAGAUACCUGUAGAGCAUCUUUAUAAUCACCUAGUUACGUUGUGACGUUUGAUAGCACACAAGGUAUUCCUCCGAUAUCCGGGAGUUGCAUAAUCUCAUGGUCGAGGGAAUAUGUAUUUGACAUGAAGAAAGCUAUAGCAAUAAAAUUGAACAAUCAUAAUGCUAAUCUAAUGGAUGGUCUUGUCCAUCACAUCAUUCUCCUAAUGAUGUGAUCCCGUUCAUCAAAUGACAACACAUGUCUAUGGUUAGGAAACUUAACCAUCUUUGAUUAACGAGCUAGUCUAGUAGAGGCUUACUAGGGACACAGUGUUUUGUCUAUGUAUCCACACAUGUAUUAAGUUUCUGGUUAAUUCAAUUCUAGCAUGAAUAAUAAACAUUUAUCAUGAUAUAAGGAAAUAUAAAAUAAUAACUUUAUUAUUGCCUCUAGGGCAUAUUUCCUUCAGUAUCCCACUUGCACUAGAGUCAAUAAUCUAGUUCACAUCGCCAUAUGAUUUAACACCAACAGUUCACAUCUUUAUGUGAUUAACACCCAUAGUUCACAUCGCCAUGUGACCAAUACCCAAAGGGUUUACUAGAGUCAAUAAUAUAGUUCACAUCGCUAUGUGAUUAACACCCAAAGAGUACUAAGGUGUGAUCAUGUUUUGCUUGUGACAGAAGUUUAGUCAACGGGUCUGCCACAUUCAGAUCCGUAUGUAUUUUGCAAAUUUCUAUGUCUACAACGCUCUGCAUGGAGCUACUCUAGCUAAUUGCUCCCACGUUCAAUACGUAUCUAGAUUGAAACUUGGAGUCAUCUAGAUCAGUGUUAAAGCUUGCAUCGACAUAACUCUUUAUGACGAACUCUUUAUCACCUCCAUAACUGGAAAACAUUUCCUUAGUCCUCUUUAAGGUAACUAAGGAUAAUUUUGACCGCUGUCCAGUGAUCUAUGUUGGGGAACGUAGUAUUUCAAAAUUUUUGCCUACGAUCACGCAAGAUCUAUCUAGGAGAAGCAUAGCAACGAGCGGGGAGAGUGUGUCCACAUACCCUCGUAGACCGAAAGCGGAAGCGUUUAGUAACACGGUUGAUGUAGUCGAACGUCUUUGCGAUCCAACCGAUCAAGUACCGAAUGCACCGCACCUCCGCGAUCUGCACACGUUCAGCUCGGUGACGUCCUUCGAACUCUUGAUCCAGCUGAGGCCGAGGGAGAGUUCCGUCAGCACGACGGCGUAGUGACGGUGAUGAUGAAGUUACCGGCGCAGGGCUUCGCCUAAGCACUAUGAUGAUAUGAUCGAGGUGUAAAACUGUGCAGGGGGGCACCACACACGGCUAAGAGAUUGUCUAUUGUGCCUUUAGGGUGCCCCCUGCCCCCAUAUAUAAAGGAGGGGAGGAGGAGGCUGGCCGACAAGGGGCGCGCUAGGGAGAGGGGAGUCCUACUAGGACUCUAGUCCUAGUAGGAUUCGGCCCCACCCUUUUUUCCUUCUACCGGAGGGGGAAAAGGGGAAGGAGAGGGAGUAGGNNNNNNNNNNNNNNNNNNNNNNNNNNNNNNNNNNNNNNNNNNNNNNNNNNNNNNNNNNNNNNNNNNNNNNNNNNNNNNNNNNNNNNNNNNNNNNNNNNNNNNNNNNNNNNNNNNNNNNNNNNNNNNNNNNNNNNNNNNNNNNNNNNNNNNNNNNNNNNNNNNNNNNNNNNNNNNNNNNNNNNNNNNNNNNNNNNNNNNNNNNNNNNNNNNNNNNNNNNNNNNNNNNNNNNNNNNNNNNNNNNNNNNNNNNNNNNNNNNNNNNUCCCUUGUGGGGGGCGCACCAGCCCCUUGUGGGCUGGUUCGUCUCCCUCCUAUGGCCCAUAAGGCCCAUAUCUUUCCCCGGGGGGUUCCGGUAACCUCCCGGUACUCCGGAAAAAUGCCCGAAUCACUCGGAACCAUUCCGAUGUCUGAAUGCAACCUUCCAAUAUAUGAAUCUUUACCUCUCGACCAUUUUGAGACUCCUCGUCAUGUCCGUGAUCUCAUCCGGGACUCCGAACAAACUUCGGUACAUCAAAUCACAUAACUCAUAAUACAAAUCGUCAUCGAACGUUAAGCAUGUGGACCCUACGGGUUCGAGAACUAUGUAGACAUGACCGGGACACAUCUCCGGUCAAUAACCAAUAGCGGAACCUGGAUGCUCAUAUUGGCUCCUACAUAUUCUACAAAGAUCUUUAUCGGUCAAACCGCAUAACAACAUACGUUGUUCCCUUUGUCAUCGGUAUGUUACUUGCACGAGAUUCGAUCGUCGGUAUCAUCUACCUAGUUCAAUCUCGUUACCCGCAAGUCUCUUUACUCGUUCCGUAAUACAUCAUCCCGCAACUAACUCAUUAGUCACAUUGCUUGCAAGGCUUAUAGUGAUGUGCAUUACCGAGAGGGCCCAGAGAUACCUCUCCGAUACACAUAGUGACAAAUCCUAAUCUCGAUCUAUGCCAACUCAACAAACACCAUCGGAGACACCUGUAGAGCAUCUUUAUAAUCACCCAGUUACGUUGUGACGUUUGAUAGCACACUAAGUGUUCCUCCGGCAUUCGGGAGUUGCAUAAUCUCAUAGUCAUAGGAACAUGUAUAAGUCAUGAAGAAAGCAAUAGCAAUAAACUUAAACGAUCAUAGUGCUAAGCUAACGGAUGGGUCUUGUCCAUCACAUCAUUAUCUAAUGAUGUGAUCCCGUUCAUCAAAUGACAACACAUGUCUAUGGCUAGGAAACUUAACCAUCUUUGAUUACGAGCUAGUCAAGUAGAGGCAUACUAGGGGCACUCUGUUUUGUCUAUGUAUUCACACAUGUAUCAAGUUUCCGGUUAAUACAAUUCUAGCAUGAAUAAUAAACAUUUAUCAUGACAUAAGGAAAUAUAAAUAACAACUUUAUUAUUGCCUCUAGGGCAUAUUUCCUUCAAUCUAGUCCUGGAUCACUAUUGUACGCCCUUGCCAAACUCAUGGCAAGGUACACAAUAGGUCUGGUACACAACAUAGCAUACUAUAUAGAACCCAUGGUCUUAGGCAUAGGGAAUGACUUUCAUUCUCUUUCUAUAUUCUGCCGUGGUCGUUUUUUUGAGUCUUACUCAACUUCACACCUUGCAACACAGGCAAGAACCCUUUCUUUGACUGAUCCAUUUUGAACUAUCUUCAAAACUUUGUCAAGGUAUGCGUUUUAUGAAAGUCCUAUUUGUUGGAAAUAUGCCCUAGAGGCAAUAAUAAAUGGUUAUUAUUAUAUUUCUUUGUUCAUGGUAAUUGUCUAUUAUUCAUGCUAUAAUUGUAUUAUCCGGAAAUCGUAAUACAUGUGUGAAUACAUAGACCACAAAGUGUCCCUAGUAAGCCUCUAGUUGACUAGCUCGUUAAUCAACAGAUAGUCAUGGUUUCCUGACUAUGGACAUUGGAUGUCAUUGAUAACGGGAUCACAUCAUUAGGAGAAUGAUGUGAUGGACAAGACCCAAUCCUAAGCAUAGCAUAAAAGAUCGUGUAGUUUCGUUUGCUAGAGCUUUUCCAAUGUCAAGUAUCUUUUCCUUAGACCAUGAGAUCGUGCAACUCCCGGAUACCGUAGGAGUGCUUUGGGUGUGCCAAACGUCACAACGUAACUGGGUGACUAUAAAGGUGCAUUACGGGUAUCUCCGAAAGUGUUUGUUGGGUUGGCACGGAUCGAGACUGGGAUUUGUCACUCCGUGUGACGGAGAGGUAUCUCUGGGCCCACUCGGUAAUGCAUCAUCAUAAUGAGCUCAAUGUGACUAAGGCGUUAGUCACGGGAUCAUGCAUUGCGGUACGAGUAAAGAGACUUGCCGGUAACGAGAUUGAACAAGGUAUUGGGAUACCGACGAUCGAAUCUCGGGCAAGUAACAUACCGAUUGACAAAGGGAAUUGCAUACGGAUUGAUUGAAUCCUCGACACCAUGGUUCAUCCGAUGAUAUCAUCGUGGAACAUGUGGGAGCCAACAUGGGUAUCCAGAUCCCGCUGUUGGUUAUUGACCGGAGAGGCGUCUCGGUCAUGUCUGCAUGUCUCCCGAACCCGUAGGGUCUACACACUUAAGGUCCGGUGACGCUAGGGUUGUAGAGAUAUAUGUAUGCGGAAACCCGAAAGUUGUUCGGAGUCCCAGAUGAGAUCCCGGACGUCACGAGAGGUUCCGGAAUGGUCCGGAGGUAAAGAUUUAUAUAUGGGAAGUCUUAUUUUGGUCGCCGGAAAAGUUUCGCGCUUUAUCGGUAUUGUACCGGGAGUGCCGAAAGGGGUCCGGGGGUCCACCAAGGGGGUCCACCAGCCCCGGGGGGCCACAUGGGCUGUAAGGGGUGCGCCUUGGCCUAUAUGGGCCAAGGGCACCAGCCCCAAGAGGCCCAUGCGCAAGAGAUAAGAAAAAAAGGGAGAGUCCUAAAGGGGGAAGGCACCUCCGAGGUGCCUUGGGGGGGAAGGACUCCCCCCUGGCCGCACCCUUCCUUGGAGGAAGGGGCAAGGCUGCGCCCCCCCUCUCCCUUGGCCCUAUAUAUAGUGGGGGGAAGGGAGGGCAGCAACAUCUAAGCCUUGGGCGCCUCCCUCCUCCCCUGCAACACCUCUCUCUCUCGCAGAAGCUUGCGAAGCCCUGCCGGAGAGCCGCUACAUCCACCACCACGCCGUCGUGCUGUUGGAUCUCCAUCAACCUCUCCUUCCCCCUUGCUGGAUCAAGAAGGAGGAGACGUCGCUGCACCGUACGUGUGUUGAACGCGGAGGUGCCGUCCGUUCGGCACUCGAUCAUCGGUGAUUUGGAUCACGGCGAGUACGACUCCGUCAUCCACGUUCAUUGGAACGCUUCCGCUCGCGAUCUACAAGGGUAUGUAGAUGCACUCCUUUCCCCUCGUUGCUAGUAGACUCCAUAGAUGCAUCUUGGUGAGCGUAGGAAAAUUUUAAAUUAUGCUACGAUUCCCAACAGUGGCAUCAUGAGCCAGGCCUAUGCGUAGUUACUAUGCACGAGUAGAACACAAAGUAGUUGUGGGCGUUGAGUUUGCCAAUUCUUCUUGCCGCUACUAGUCUUUUCUUGUUUCGGCGGCAUUGUAGGAUGAAGCGGCCCGGACCGACCUUACACGUACACUUACGUGAGACAGGUUCCACCGACUGACAUGCACAAGUUGCAUAAGGUGGCUAGCGGGUGUCUGUCUCUCCUACUUUAGUCGGAACGGAUUCGAUGAAAAGGGUCCUUUUGAAGGGUAAAUAGAAAUUGGCAAAUCACGUUGUGGUCAUACGUUGGUAAGAAACGUUCUUGCUAGAAACCUACAAACCACGUAAAAACUUGCAACAACAAUUAGAGGACGUCUAACUUGUUUUUGCAGCAAGUGCUAUGUGAUGUGAUAUGGCCAGAAGAUGUGAUGAAUGAUAUAUGUGAUGUAUGAGAUUGAUCAUAUUCUUGUAAUAGGAAUCACGACCUACAUGUCGAUGAGUAUGACAACCGGCAGGAGCCAUAGGAGUUGUCUUUAUUAUUUUGUAUGACCUGCGUGUCAUUGAAUAAUGCCAUGUAAAUUACUUUACUUCGUUGCUAAACGCGUUAGCCAUAGAAGUAGAAGUAAUCGUUGGCGUGACGACUUCAUGAAGACACAAUGAUGGAGAUCAUGAUGAUGGAGAUCAUGGUGUCAUGCCGGUGACAAAGAUGAUCAUGGUGCCCCGAAGAUGGAGAUCAAAGGAGCAUAAUGAUAUUGGCCAUAUCAUGUCACUAUUUGAUUGCAUGUGAUGUUUAUCAUGUUUUUGCAUCUUAUUUGCUUAGAACGACGGUAGUAAGUAAGAUGAUCCCUUAUAAUAAUUUCAAGAAAGUGUUCACCCUAACUGUGCACCGUUGCGAAGGUUCGUUGUUUCGAAGCACCACGUGAUGAUCGGGUGUGAUAGAUUCUAACGUUCGAAUACAACGGGUGUUGACGAGCCUAGCAUGUACAGACAUGGCCUCAGAACACACGCAAUACACUUAGGUUGACUUGACGAGCCUAGCAUGUACAGACAUGGCCUCGGAACACGGAGGACCGAAAGGUCGAGCAUGAGUCGUAUAGAAGAUACGAUCAACAUGGAGAUGUUCACCGAUCUUGACUAGUCCGUCUCACGUGAUGAUCGGACACGGCCUAGUUAAACUCGGAUCAUGUUUCACUUAGAUGACGAGAGGGAUGUCUAUCUGAGUGGGAGUUCAUUAAAUAAUUUGAUUAGAUGAACUCAAUUAUCAUGAACUUAGUCUAAAAUCUUUACACUAUGUCUUGUAGAUCAAAUGGCCAACGUUGUCCUCAAUUUCAACGCGUUCCUAGAGAAAACCAAGCUGAAAGAUGAUGGCAGCAACCAUACGGACUGGGUCCGGAACCUGAGGCUCAUCCUCAUAGUAGCCAAGAAAGAUUAUGUCUUAGAAGCACCGCUAGGUGAUGCACCAAUCCCACAGAACCAAGACGUUAACGCUUGGCAAUCACGUGCUGAUGAUUACUCCCUUGUUCAGUGCGGCAUGCUUUACAGCCUAGAACCGGGUCUCCAAAAGCGUUUUGAGAAACAUGGAGCAUAUGAGAUGUUCGAGGAGCUGAAACUGGUUUUUCAAGCUCAUGCCCGGGUCGAGAGAUAUGAUGUCUCCGACAAGUUCUUCAGCUGUAAAAUGGAGGAGAACAGUUCUGUUAGUGAGCACAUACUCAGAAUGUCUGGGUUGCACAACCGCUUGUCUCAGCUGGGAGUUAAUCUCCCGGAUGACGCGGUCAUUGACAGAAUCCUCCAGUCGCUUCCACCAAGCUACAAGAGCUUUGUGAUGAACUGCAAUAUGCAGGGGAUGGAAAAGACCAUUCCCGAGGUAUAUUCAAUGCUGAAAUCAGCGGAAGGGGAGAUCAGAAAAGAACAUCAAGUGUUGAUGGUGAAUAAAACCACCAAGUUCAAGAAGGGCAAGGGUAAGAAGAACUUCAAGAAGGACGGCAAGGGAGUUGCCGCACCCGGUAAACCAGUUACUGGGAAGAAGUCAAAGAAUGGACCCAAGCCCGGGACUGAGUGCUUUUAUUGCAAGGGAAGUGGUCACUGGAAGCGGAACUGCCCCAAAUAUUUAGCGGACAAGAAGAAGGCCGGCAACACCCAAGGUAUAUGUGAUAUACAAGUAAUUGAUGUGUACCUUACCAGUACUCGUAGUAGCUCCUGGGUAUUUGAUACCGGUGCGGUUGCUCAUAUUUGUAACUCAAAACAGGAACUACGGAAUAAACGGAGACUGGCAAAGGACAAGGUGACGAUGCGCGUCGGGAAUGGUUCCAAGGUCGAUGUGAUCGCCGUCGGCACGCUACCUCUGCAUCU